RNAcentral lists this unclassified non-coding RNA (246 nucleotides) under Hevea brasiliensis (rubber tree). The record is from RNAcentral. Lineage: Eukaryota; Viridiplantae; Streptophyta; Magnoliopsida; Malpighiales; Euphorbiaceae.
UUUCAUUUCCAUGAGCUGGUGAAUAUUUCUUUCUUGCUCUUGUGAUACAAUGUGUCUACAGAAUUGUGAGGUUUAGAAUUGGUACUUAAUAAAAUAGAUCUUAUCACCUGUACUGAAUUACGUAGACUCUGGUUUAUGUAAUUUUUUUGGUCUUCUAGUAUUUUUUCAUGUCCCAUGUUUUUGCAAAUUCUUUUGGCUUCACUGAACCUCGUUACGGUGUUUCCUUUUUCAUGGAAGUCUAGUGAA